GAGAAGAAGGGAGGUGUGGAGAGGGAUUGAGGCGUUAUGGAGGCAUUGUGGGUUCUCCUACGAGUUGCUGUCUGAGCUGUUGGUUCUCCUGGAGAAGCUCUGGUCUUCACAUCGAGCAUUGCUUCCUGGCUCCAGAGGGGAAGACAUGUGCUGCCUGGUCUCCAGGGUGAACUCGUCAUGCUGCUUCCUGGCACGUACCUGACUGUGCUUGUCGUUGGAGGAGCUUGGGGCCUCCAUGUCGCUGAGGACAGCUGUGAUGCCUUUCAGGACAGCCCCGCUCUUUGUUGUAUGUUUUCGGAACACCUGGCCUCCAAAAUUAUCCAUGCAGAGAAAGAGAAAUACAAACAAUUGCCACAGUUUGGAUGUUGAAUAUCCUCCAGCAGAUUGUGUAGACCACUUGGAUGGCUCUCCUUGAAUGAAGAACAAUUACCAUUGCUUCGCUAAACCUGGCCCCGUCUCCAUGAACUGGUUACACUGCAGGUGAUAGAUUGGAAUUAACUCAUCUGGAUGCCAAUAAUCUUUCAAUCGAAUUUCACUUCCCAGAUUAUGGAGGAGGACAGGAAAAGGAAUUCCACUACUGGGAUUACAAUAGAUUGUAUGUUGAAGAGCAGCAUUCCUGGAAGGUGGCGUGAGGCUUGCGAUUAUGCAUGUAAGUCACUGUACCUCACGGAGCCUGGAGGACCCCAGCCCUCUCCUUCCCCUCUCUGCUCCCUGGACAUGAGGGGAGCAGUUUCCUCUGCCACUCAUUCCCACAACAAAGUGCUGCCUCCUUGCAGGACCCAGAUAAUCAGGGCAACCGACCAGAUCCUGGGACCUCUGAAACCAUGAGCCAAAAAAUCCUUUGUCUUUAUAAAUUGCUGAUUGCAGUCUUUCAUUUGACUCUUUGGUUUAUCUCAGGUUAUUUUUAAUGGAACGCUGACUAUCACAGAGUAUAAGUGGGUUUGCAAUUGCUUCGCUUUCAAACUGAAAGAUGUCACUUUGUCUCAAUUCAUUGAUAUACACAAACUUGAUUGCUCCCAUGUGAAAAUAUAUAUGAAUGCACGAAAUUCACUGAAUCCAAACUAUCUCUGCUAUGCUCAAACUGUCUUGGGAUUUUGAUUCUACUACAAAGUCUUCUGGGCUUUGUUCUGUUUUGUUUUGUUGGAUUUUACUGUCUAAAAACAAAACAAAACAAAAACAAAACAAAACAAAACAAAAAAAAAAAAAAAAAAACACAAAGAAAGAAAAGAGCCUUCCAGUUCAUCCAGUUCAUGCUGGUGGAGUUGGGGAGAGCUCAAAGCAUAUGUAUAAGAGAGAGGCGUGGGUGGAACAAUGUGAGCCACUUCAUUGGUUGUCACAGAUUCAGUUAUUUUCUUAGUGAGGGGAGUCUUUAUUUUCCCCUCUGUUUUACUCAUAAGUUGAGCCUUAUGUUGUUCAGGGCAUGACCAUCAUUCUAGACAACAGAAUUUAAAAGACUUUUGAUGGUGCAGCAUAGGACAUCAUUGUGUUAAACAUUGUGUGAUUAUAACUGCACAAUGAAAUGACUAGCAUAGUAAAUAAUAGCAGUAGAGCUGUCUUUGAAAGAAAAGGUCAAUAUUAUACCUGCAUGCUGAUAGGAGAGAUUAAUAUACUCUUACUAUUAUUAAUAAUAGUAAUUAGGCUCUGUUGCGUUAGCUGAUAGUCAGGUCCCAUUUAUAGGAACAGGCUAAUGUGCUUCUUGAGCAUGACUUGGCAUUAUUUUAGCCCUUCAAUUAAAAGCGUUGAAAAUCAGUGCCAGGAUCUUCUUAUCAUUUUAUUAGCUUUUUGGCACUUGGAUUUUUUAUUUAUAUUGGGCUUACUUUUCCACCUCUGGAAAGUUAGCAAGAAUUUUUAUACAAAAAGAAGAAGCCUUAAUGCUUAACAUCAUUUCUGACUGGGGGCAUCAGGAUAGAUCUUUGCAUAUUUUGCAUCAUUUAGCACGGCCACUGAUACAAAUUAAGAAGACAGGCAUCCUUCUCAGGACAAUGAACACUUGUUCUUAGCUACAGAGUGAGGAGAUAGCAGUCUUCAACUGAGAUGACUAGCCAGGGAAACCCUUUGGAAGACCAGGAGUGGACACAGAACUGGAAGUGGAAAGAAGGGACCACUAAACUGCCUGUUUGGUGACCAGAUGAUGAAAUUUUUCCCUGUUGUACUUUAUAGUGAUUACUGUGUGAAAUGCUUGCAGAGAUGUAAAAAUGUGUCAGGAUGAUCCUUGUUUAAAAGUUAAACAUAGGAGGAUAAUUUAAGUGUUUCUUUGGUUCAGAUGAAUUUUCCUCUCUGUUAUACUCCACACCUUGAAUUUUCACUAAUAUCUCCAAUUUUGGAUUAAGGCAUGAAAGGUUUUUAUUAAAAUGAACCAGUGCUACCUGGUAGGGGUAAGCUAUUUACUCUUUUAUCAUUAAUUUCUAACUGUGAAUAAUUAAAACAAGAUUUCUUCACUCAGUUAAGUCUUGCAAAAGAAUCAUGUUAAUGUUUCAAAGUUUAAAAUUUAUUGCAUGCUGGAGUUGACAUUGAAAAUUGAGUUACUCUCCUAUUUGUUGCAUUAAUAAUCUUAUAAGAUGAGGUAGCUAGAACAAGUAGUCUCUUUUAACCAAGGAAGCACUGGAGACUCUGAUUGAUAUAUUUCUGUUCAAGGACAUUCUGGAGGACUGGGUUGUAUUAUAGCUGAGUACCGAGGGAACAGAGGAAGUGGAGAUCCCCAGGCAGGCUACUUCCUUUUGGAUCAGCAGGGAGCUGGUUUGUAAUUAAAGUAUGCAGGCAAAUUUAGAGGGUGUGGAGGGAAUCUAGAGAGGGGGAACAGAGAGAGAGAGACAGACAGAGAGAGAGAGAGAGAGAGAGAGAGAGAGAGAGAGAGAGAGAGAGAGAGAGAGAGGAGGGGGGCUUCUAGCAACAGCCAACAGUAGUAUUACUUAUCUUUUCUUGAGCAUCUAUUAAGUGUGAAGUGCUAAACUAGACUCAUCAAUAAUUUUAUUUUAUCUUCUUUAUAAUCCUGUAAGACAAUAAUGUUCCAAAGUUACAAAUCAGGAAGGAAGACUUUAGGACAGUUAAAAAUCUUGCUCAACUAAAAGUGGCAAACUAUUUCCCCAUUCCUAACGCCCACAUUCUUUUGGAGCCACAUGUUACAGUGCAAGAAAGCAAACAAAGAAAAGGUCACAGGAGGGCCUUGAAACAAAUAUCCCUUUCUUCACGUCUGUCUCAGGCUUGGCUUCUCUGCCCUUCACCUUUCCAUUAACUCUGUAACCCGCAAAGAACAGAAAUUUUAUCACAUUCAGGACAAAGUAAAGACUUCAAAAAGUUUUCCCAAGUCUUUUUCGUCUUGCCAAGUUGGAGACGAUUAUGCCAGACCUUUCACGUAUUUAUACAGUAACUCUCUUAUUGUUAAUGUAAACUAAUAAAAAGUACACUUUAUUUGUGUUCCCAAUAAGAUGGUUUUCGUCUGCCUUACUGAAAAAUGUGGCUGCCCGGUGUUGUCCUCUGACACCAACAGUUACUCCCAGCGAGUGUUGGGUGCAAUACAGUCUAGCAAAAGCUUCUGACCUGAUUUUUUUCUCAAGCCAAAGUCAUGUAGGGCAAAGAGUGAGUGACACACUGCAAAGUGGGAAGCCUGCCUUUCCCUGAAUGUUUGUGCCCACAGCUGCAAUAAACCGCAUUUCCUCCCCUUGAUGGAAAGAUGACCACCUCCGGGGUAAAAUGUGGUUCAAUAAAACAUGAUCACUUAAGAAGCUUCAAGCAAUGAUAAGCUGAUGGGUUUCCAUCGAUAUGGCAGACAGGGGCUGCUCAAGCUUCAAGGUUUUACUCCAUGUUGAACUGUCUUGAAUAGCCCUCUUACUCCAUUACUCAGUCUCCUCAUCUGUAAAAUGGGAAUAACAGUUGCCUAGUUCAAAGGUGUACUGUUAGAAUUGAUUAGUUCAGAUGAAGCUCUCUGCAGUCCCUGUCUGAGCAGCACCACCUGAUGAUAAUGGCUAGCUAGUGUCCUUAUUACUCUAACAUUCACCCAUAAUGCUCAUCCAUCAAAUACAGAUACAGAUACAGAUACUAAAAUGGGCCGGGCAAGGAUAGUGCCACUGCAUUUGGUGGCGGUUGCCCUGAAGAUAAAGCUGUCACACGCAGUUUCUCCCCAGAGCAAGCUUAAGCUAGUUGCAGUAUUGAUGUAGGUGAUCUUCUUGCCCGGAUGCACAGAGGUGCUUUAACUGGAGCUAAUUAUGGCGAGCAAUAAUGGCAGAGCCAAGAACUCACCUUGAUGGUGAUGAGACGCUCAAAGAGACUAUUUCUGAACCACAUCAUCAGGAAGAAUUUUCUGCACCAUUGGUGUGGGUAGCUUUCUGAACAACAUCAGGGCACCUCAAGAAAGAUGGUUGUGAUAUUCUUCUAGAAAGGAAGAGUACCAGAAAGAAUAGUUAUGCUUGAAAAUUGUCCUCUGUUAGAUCCAUGGUUUAUUUAUAUUGGCCAGUUUUAUUUUGUCUGUGUGUUUUUCCUCAUACAAAUGUCAUGUUCCUUGCAUUGGAAUGAAGGGACAAAAAUAAUUGACACAUGGUAUAAUUGAAAUGGAGCCUCCCAACACGAUAGGCUCUUUUUAAGAGUCACAAAGCAGGGGCUGGGGAUUUAGCUCAGCGGCAUAAGCGCCUGCCUUGCAAGCAGGCAGUCGUGAGUUUGGUCCCUGGUACCGAUAAAAAUGAAAAAGACAAAAAACAAAACAAAACAAAAAAAAAUACAAA
This is a long non-coding RNA of Cavia porcellus (domestic guinea pig), 4715 nucleotides long. RefSeq lists it as uncharacterized. The transcript has 3 exons. The record is from RefSeq and is a predicted model, not a curated record. NCBI's taxonomy places the organism in Eukaryota, Metazoa, Chordata, Mammalia, Rodentia, Caviidae.